Molecule: non-coding RNA, 298 nt
Organism: Paramuricea clavata
Lineage: Eukaryota; Metazoa; Cnidaria; Anthozoa; Malacalcyonacea; Plexauridae
Source: the annotation of a GenBank genome assembly
GAAACAACACCGUGAAAUUGCCAACGUUUUUGGUUCACGGAAGAACAGUAAAAAAUGAAUAGUUAGCUUUAGGUUUGUGACACAGGAGUUUCAUCUAACUAAAGUUGCCAAGUUGCUGCAGUUGAUACUUUAAAGGAAAUGGUUGUAGAAAUUGUUAUAACUGAGAAGAAUUGUACCAAGUGAAAAUUCUGAUUUUGCGAUAACUAAUUAAUUGGUGUAGUGUUUACAUUAGAAUAUAUACGGUUUACUUUUGAGUCUGUUCGUUGUUCGUUGUUCGUAGUUCGUUGUUCAUAGUUCG